RNAcentral lists this ribosomal RNA (301 nucleotides) under uncultured bacterium. RNAcentral describes it as "partial 16S ribosomal RNA". It matches the Rfam family "Bacterial small subunit ribosomal RNA", at positions 509 to 807 of the family's 1533-position model. The record is from RNAcentral.
CAGUCGCCACGGUAAUACGAAGGGUGCAAGCGUUAAUCGGAAUUACUGGGCGUAAAGCGUGCGUAGGCGGUGAGUUAAGUCUGCUGUGAAAUCCCCGGGCUCAACCUGGGAAUGGCAGUGGAUACUGGCUCGCUAGAGUGUGUCAGAGGAUGGUGGAAUUCCCGGUGUAGCGGUGAAAUGCGUAGAGAUCGGGAGGAACAUCAGUGGCGAAGGCGGCCAUCUGGGACAACACUGACGCUGAAGCACGAAAGCGUGGGGAGCAAACAGGAUUAGAUACCCCGGUAGUCCCUGUCUCUUAUAC